UUCGUAGGCGGUCUGUUAAGUCAGAGGUGAAAUCUAACGGCUCAACCGUUAACCUGCCUUUGAAACUGGCAGACUUGAGUAUUGGAGAGGAAAGCGGAAUUCUUGGUGUAGCGGUGAAAUGCGUGGAUAUCAAGAGGAACACCCGUGGCGAAGGCGGCUUUCUGGCCAAAUACUGACGCUGAGGAACGAAAGCUAGGGGAGCAAACAGGAUUAGAUACCCUGGUAGUCC
RNAcentral lists this ribosomal RNA (229 nucleotides) under uncultured bacterium. RNAcentral's name for it is "partial 16S ribosomal RNA". It matches the Rfam family "Bacterial small subunit ribosomal RNA", at positions 568 to 796 of the family's 1533-position model. The record is from RNAcentral.